This 586-nucleotide ribosomal RNA is filed under the name uncultured bacterium. RNAcentral describes it as "bacterial SSU rRNA". It matches the Rfam family "Bacterial small subunit ribosomal RNA", at positions 338 to 916 of the family's 1533-position model. The record is from RNAcentral.
CCUACGGGAGGCAGCAGUCGGGAAUUUUGGGCAAUGGGCGAAAGCCUGACCCAGCAACGCCGCGUGAAGGAUGAAAUCCCUCGGGAUGUAAACUUCGCAAGAACGGGAAGAAUAAGUAGGGGACAACACCCCCUAUGAUGACGGUACCGUUUGUGAGCUCCGGCUAACUCCGUGCCAGCAGCCGCGGUAAUACGGGGGGAGCAAGCGUUGUUCGGAUUUACUGGGCGUAAAGGGCGCGUAGGCGGCCUCCGCAAGUCAGUUGUGAAAUCUCCGAGCUUAACUCGGAAAGGUCAACUGAUACUGCGGGGCUAGAGUGCGGAAGGGGCAACUGGAAUUCUUGGUGUAGCGGUGAAAUGCGUAGAUAUCAAGAGGAACACCUGCGGCGAAGGCGGGUUGCUGGGCCGACACUGACGCUGAGGCGCGAAAGCUAGGGGAGCGAACGGGAUUAGAUACCCCGGUAGUCCUAGCCUUAAACGAUGAAUGCUUGGUGUCUGGGGUUAUAUAGUCCCCGGGUGCCGUCGCUAACGCUUUAAGCAUUCCGCCUGGGGAGUACGGUCGCAAGACUGAAACUCAAAGGAAUUGACGG